GGCAAGUAGUAGUUAAGGUAAUUGCUUAACUAGCUUAAGCCCGUAGUCGAAACUGAGAGGKUGAUCGACCACAUUGGGUCUGAAAAAACCCCAAUACGUAUAGUACAGCAGUGAGGAAUAUUGGUCAAUAGCCUAACGGCUGAACCAGCAACUUGGAGGAAUGUAUAUCGWCUAUGUCGGAUAAAGUUCUAGAUAGAAUAAUGAUGAUGACAAUUUUCUAUCUAUAUGUCUUGACCAAAUYUCGURCCAGCAGUCGCGGCAAUACGAGGAAGACUAGUGUUAUUCAUCUUUAAUAGGUUUAAAGGGUACCUAGACGGUAUAUCUAGCCCCCCCCAAAGGGUACGGAUUGUWCUAGAGUUUUAUGUGAGAGGUAUAUAUUAGUACUAUUGGUGUAGAGAUGAAAUUCUUUGAUMCUAUUAGGACUGGUAGAGGCAAAAGCAACCCUCUAUGUAUAAACUGACGUUGAGGGAYGAAGGCUUGGGUAGYGAAUAGGAUUAGAUACCCUAGUAGUCCAGGCAGAGAAUUAUGAAUGUCAUAGACUAGAUUAUGCAGAGCAUAUAGUUAUAACUAAUAGUUAUAUGUCUUUUAUAUUUUGGUCUAUAAAUGAAAGUGUAAGCAUUCCACCUCAAGAGUAAUGUGGCAACGCAGGAACUGAAAUCAUUAGACCGUUUCUGAAACCAGUAGUGAAGUAUGUUAUUUAAUUCGAUGACCCUCGAAAAACCUUACCWCAAUUUGAAUAUUAAUUUUAUUUAAUUAAUACAAGCGUUGCACGGCUGUCUUCAGUUAAUGUCGUGAGAUUUUGGUUAGAUCCAUUAAAUUAACGUAAACCCUUACUUUAUUUAUUUUUAAUAAAGUAGUUCACCACUAUAUUGGAUUUGAUAAAAGGGACUAAGACAAGUCAUCAUGGCCUUAAUAUUGUGGGCUAUAGACGUGCCACAUAUGCCUAGACAAAGGGAUGCGAAAA
This 964-nucleotide ribosomal RNA is filed under the name Lichenothelia sp. Its description in RNAcentral is "SSU rRNA". It matches the Rfam family "Bacterial small subunit ribosomal RNA", at positions 238 to 1255 of the family's 1533-position model. The record is from RNAcentral. Lineage: Eukaryota; Fungi; Ascomycota; Dothideomycetes; Lichenotheliales; Lichenotheliaceae.